RNAcentral lists this ribosomal RNA (253 nucleotides) under uncultured bacterium. Its description in RNAcentral is "partial 16S ribosomal RNA". It matches the Rfam family "Bacterial small subunit ribosomal RNA", at positions 524 to 776 of the family's 1533-position model. The record is from RNAcentral.
UACGGAGGGUGCAAGCGUUAUCCGGAUUUACUGGGUUUAAAGGGUGCGCAGGCGGAUAUGUAAGUCAGUGGUGAAAUCUCCGGGCUUAACCCGGAAACUGCCGUUGAUACUAUAUAUCUUGAAUGCUGUGGAGGUAAGCAGAAUAUGUCAUGUAGCGGUGAAAUGCUUAGAGAUGACAUAGAACACCUAUUGCGAAGGCAGCUUACUACACGGAGAUUGACGCUCAUGCACGAAAGCGUGGGGAUCAAACAGG